RNAcentral lists this unclassified non-coding RNA (339 nucleotides) under soil metagenome. RNAcentral describes it as "partial contains 5.8S ribosomal RNA, internal transcribed spacer 2, and large subunit ribosomal RNA". The stretch from base 1 to 120 matches the Rfam family "5.8S ribosomal RNA", at positions 35 to 154 of the family's 154-position model. The record is from RNAcentral.
GAUGAAGAACGUAGCGAAAUGCGAUAAGUAAUGUGAAAUGCAGAAUUCCGUGAAUCAUCGAAUCUUUGAACGCACAUUGCGCCCCCUGGUAUUCCGGGGGGCAUGCCUGUCCGAGCGUCAUUGCAACCCUCAAGCGCGGCUUGUGUGUUGGGCUUCGUCCCCCCGUGGACGUGCCCGAAAGGCAGUGGCGGCGUCCCGAAUGGUGCCCGAGCGUAUGGGAACUCUCUUCCGCUCGAACCGGCCCAUUCGGCGCUGGUCGAACCCCAAUUUUUUUUUACCGGUUGACCUCGGAUCAGGUAGGGAUACCCGCUGAACUUAAGCAUAUCAAUAAGCGGAGGA